RNAcentral lists this ribosomal RNA (501 nucleotides) under uncultured bacterium. Its description in RNAcentral is "partial 16S ribosomal RNA". It matches the Rfam family "Bacterial small subunit ribosomal RNA", at positions 30 to 523 of the family's 1533-position model. The record is from RNAcentral.
AUUGAACGCUGGCGGCAGGCUUAACACAUGCAAGUCGAGCGGAGAUGAGGUGCUUGCACCUUAUCUUAGCGGCGGACGGGUGAGUAAUGCUUAGGAAUCUGCCUAUUAGUGGGGGACAACAUUCCGAAAGGAAUGCUAAUACCGCAUACGUCCUACGGGAGAAAGCAGGGGAUCUUCGGACCUUGGCCUAAUAAAUGAGCCUAAGUCGGAUUAGCUAGUUGGUGGGGUAAAGGCCUACCAAGGCGCCGAUCUGUAGCGGGUCUGAGAGGAUGAUCCGCCACACUGGGACUGAGACACGGCCCAGACUCCUACGGGAGGCAGCAGUGGGGAAUAUUGGACAAUGGGGGAAACCCUGAUCCAGCCGUGCCGCGUGUGUGAAGAAGGCCUUAUGGUUGUAAAGCACUUUAAGCGAGGAGGAGGCUACUGAGACUAAUACUCUUGGAUAGUGGACGUUACUCGCAGAAUAAGCACCGGCUAACUCUGUGCCAGCCGCCGCCGUAA